RNAcentral lists this ribosomal RNA (120 nucleotides) under Bacillus amyloliquefaciens. Its description in RNAcentral is "partial 16S ribosomal RNA". It matches the Rfam family "Bacterial small subunit ribosomal RNA", at positions 1 to 117 of the family's 1533-position model. RNAcentral also lists the same sequence under 6 other names. Lineage: Bacteria; Bacillati; Bacillota; Bacilli; Caryophanales; Bacillaceae. The record is from RNAcentral.
UUAUCGGAGAGUUUGAUCCUGGCUCAGGACGAACGCUGGCGGCGUGCCUAAUACAUGCAAGUCGAGCGGACAGAUGGGAGCUUGCUCCCUGAUGUUAGCGGCGGACGGGUGAGUAACACG